Molecule: ribosomal RNA, 255 nt
Filed under: uncultured archaeon
Lineage: Archaea
Description: partial 16S ribosomal RNA
Rfam family: Archaeal small subunit ribosomal RNA
Source: RNAcentral
CACCGGCAGCUGAAGUGGUAGCCGCUUUUAUUGGGCCUAAAGCGUCCGUAGCCGGUCUGAUAAGUCUCUGGUGAAAUCCCACAGCUUAACUGUGGGAAUUGCUGGAGAUACUAUCAUGACUCGAGGUCGGGAGAGGCUGGAGGUACUCCCAGGGUAGGGGUGAAAUCCUGUAAUCCUGGGAGUACCACCUGUGGCGAAGCCGUCCAGCUGAAACGAACCUGACGGUGAGGGACUAAAGCCAGGGGCGCGAACCGG